RNAcentral lists this unclassified non-coding RNA (324 nucleotides) under uncultured fungus. Its description in RNAcentral is "sequence contains ITS1". The stretch from base 1 to 97 matches the Rfam family "5.8S ribosomal RNA", at positions 50 to 154 of the family's 154-position model. Lineage: Eukaryota; Fungi. The record is from RNAcentral.
AAAGGGCGAAACGUAAUGUGAAUCGCAGACUGUGAAUCAUUGAGUAUUUGAACGCAUCUUGCGUCCCGGUUUUUAAUUGGGACAUGGUGAGGCGAGAUGGGAAAGAAAAAGUGGAGAAGGAUAAGAGGGGAGGAGGGGGGGAGGUCUCUCUCUCUUUCACUUUUUUCUCUGAAACGGCCAUGAUUUGAUGGCUGAGAAAAAGAUAUUAGUGGUUAGGUCGUUCUCCCCUUGUCUCUGGAUCGAAAGGGAAAGGGAUGGGGAGAGAAUGCUAUAAUUUUGACAGUACCUACCACUCGCCUCACCAAGAUUACCCGCCGAAUUUAA